AUUGAACGCUGGCGGCAGGCCUAACACAUGCAAGUCGAGCGGAAACGAGUUAUCAAAGCCUUCGGGUGGAGAUAACGGCGUCGAGCGGCGGACGGGUGAGUAAUGCCUGGGAAAUUGCCCUGAUGUGGGGGAUAACCAUUGGAAACGAUGGCUAAUACCGCAUAAUAGCCCGGUUCUUCGGAAUUGGGCUCAAAGAGGGGGACCUUUUAGGCCUCUCGCGUCAGGAUAUGCCCAGGUGGGAUUAGCUAGUUGGUGAGGUAAUGGCUCACCAAGGCGACGAUCCCUAGCUGGUCUGAGAGGAUGAUCAGCCACACUGGAACUGAGACACGGUCCAGACUCCUACGGGAGGCAGCAGUGGGGAAUAUUGCACAAUGGGCGCAAGCCUGAUGCAGCCAUGCCGCGUGUAUGAAGAAGGCCUUCGGGUUGUAAAGUACUUUCAGCAGUGAGGAAGGUGGUGUCGUUAAUAGG
This 468-nucleotide ribosomal RNA is filed under the name uncultured bacterium. RNAcentral's name for it is "bacterial SSU rRNA". It matches the Rfam family "Bacterial small subunit ribosomal RNA", at positions 30 to 465 of the family's 1533-position model. The record is from RNAcentral.